CCUACGGGAGGCAGCAGUGAGGAAUAUUGGUCAAUGGACGGAAGUCUGAACCAGCCAAGUAGCGUGCAGGAUGACUGCCCUAUGUGUUGUAAACUGCUUUUAUACGGGGAUAAAGUCAGGGUCGUGACCCUGUUUGCAGGUACCGUAUGAAUAAGGACCGGCUAAUUCCGUGCCAGCAGCCGCGGUAAUA
Molecule: ribosomal RNA, 190 nt
Filed under: uncultured rumen bacterium
Lineage: Bacteria
Description: partial 16S ribosomal RNA
Rfam family: Bacterial small subunit ribosomal RNA
Source: RNAcentral